This is a long non-coding RNA of Girardinichthys multiradiatus, 1490 nucleotides long. RefSeq lists it as uncharacterized. The transcript is spliced from 4 exons. Lineage: Eukaryota; Metazoa; Chordata; Actinopteri; Cyprinodontiformes; Goodeidae. The record is from RefSeq and is a predicted model, not a curated record.
GCUGCACAUUGGCCGGGCAGAACUUCUGAACUGCUUGAGUUAGCACUGAAUGCUUGAUGCUGUGUGGAGCCUAGGAGCCGCCAUGGUGAUUAAAAUGAUCAACUAAGACGAUCAAGAUAUGUGAAAUAAUUAAUGGAGCAGUGGGCUGCCAUUGUGUGGCGCCCGGGGAGCAUUCAGAGGCUAAGGGUCUUGCCCAAGGACACAACAACUGAGACAGGCAGGGAUUCGAACCUGCAACCCACCACAUAUUUGCAAAGACCAGAGGAUGGAGGUGCUUGGUGAAUAUGUAAGAUCAAGAAAUGUGCCAGAGGAAGACAUCGAGCAAACAGAAAAGGACAAGAUUGAUCCAAGUGUUAUAAGGCUUAUGACAGAUGAGGAACUAAAGGAGUAUUUACCAUCCUAUGGUGAUUGAGUGGCUGUUUUCGGAUACUGCAGACGCAGAGAACCAGAACCCAGCAGUCGGAAGUCCAAACUUUUUGAAAUACUAAGACCAAAAAGACAGUGUGGAAAAUAAAGAACACCCCAAUUCAAAUACUAAGAAAAGUGCAAGAAAGAUUGAGCUGGGUUGGCUGCAUUUCAGAGAUAAAGAUAAUUAAUUAGUCCAGAUGCACACAAAAAAAGGUGGUGGAACCCAAAAAGACAGUGUUUCCAAGGACAGUAAAAAGAAAGACUUAAUAGAAAGAGCUGCACAACUUUUUUUCCCAGGGGAACAAAUUUAGAAGGUAAUAUUUCUGAAUUUGUACUGGAUUUAACUGACUUUCAGGCAAAUCCUUUGCCAGUGUUGCGUUACUACUAGAGAAGUUGUUAUAACAGUAAAUCUUGAAGACACCAAAGUUCAGUUUGUAAAUUCAACUGAUCACUCUGUGUCCCCCCCAGCCUUCAGGCAGUGUAGCUACCAGUAGUUUGGAGUUAAAUCACACGGAUGUGGUUUAUACUGGAAGUAGCACAGUUUUUAGAGAGCAACAUAUGGGUUAUGGAUAUUGCUUAGUUUUAUCCCAAAGUAAACAACAACAACAUCAUUCUGUUUGUAUAGGUUUAAGCACUAAAGUAUAAAACGCAAAUUACUUUUGCAAGAGGUUUGAAACAUUUUUCUACAGAUUGUUAUAUGUUCAUAUAGCUUAUGUUUUAUGAUGUUGUGGCUUCAACAAGUUUAUAGCUACAUUUGCACAAGUUUGAUGUAAGUUGUUGAUAUACCUCAAUCUAAAUAAUUAUUCACAUCAACAAACACUAACGUCUGAAGUUGCUGGUGUAGUUUUUUCAUCUAACGGACUGAGCUAAAAAAUGCAGAGUUGCACUCUUUUUCAAGAUGUUUUUUCCAAGUAUUCAAAAGUGUGUUCUUUUUACUCAAGUAAAGGCAAGUGCAUGGAUUCAGAAACUGUUAUCCAUACAGCUGUUUUUUCUAAGAUAUUUUGAUAUUCAGACAUGUAUUGUUCAGGCACUGUCGAGGCACAAAACACUUGUGAAGUGCUGUACAUUGUUACAGAUUACAA